GAUGAACGCUGGCGGCGUGCCUAAUACAUGCCAGUCGAACGGACGGACGAGAAGCUUGCUGCUCGGAUGUUAGCGGAGCACGGGUGUGUCACACGUGGAUAACCUCCCUAUAAUUGUGGUAAAAUUUCGGGAAACGGGAGCAAAUACCGGAUAAUAUUUUGCACCGCAGGGGGCAAUAGUGAAAUACGGUGGUGCUGUCACGUAUAGAGGGUUCCCGGCUGCUUUGGCGGGUUGGUAAGGUAACGGCUUAUCAAGGCAACGAUGCAUAGCCGACCUGAGAGGGUGAUCGGCGACACGAGAAGUGAGACACGGUCCUGAGUCCUACGGGAGGCAGCAGUAGCGAACCUUCCGCAGUGGGCGAAAGCCUGACGGAGCAACGCCGCGUCAGUGAUGACGGCCUUCGGAUCGUAAAACUCUGUUAUGAGGGAAGAACCUAUGUGGAAGUAACUGAGCACAGCGUGACGGUACCUAAUCAGAAAGCCCCGGCUAACUACGUG
This 497-nucleotide ribosomal RNA is filed under the name uncultured bacterium. RNAcentral describes it as "partial 16S ribosomal RNA". It matches the Rfam family "Bacterial small subunit ribosomal RNA", at positions 28 to 507 of the family's 1533-position model. The record is from RNAcentral.